Molecule: ribosomal RNA, 253 nt
Filed under: uncultured bacterium
Lineage: Bacteria
Description: partial 16S ribosomal RNA
Rfam family: Bacterial small subunit ribosomal RNA
Source: RNAcentral
UACGUAGGGGGCGAGCGUUGUCCGGAAUUAUUGGGCGUAAAGAGCGUGUAGGCGGUUCGGUAAGUCUGAUGUGAAAGCCCGGGGCUCACCCCCGGAAGUGCAUUGGAGACUGAUGGGCUGGAGUCCCGGAGAGGAGGGUGGAAUUCCUGGUGUAGCGGUGAAAUGCGUAGAUAUCAGGAGGAACACCGGUGGCGAAGGCGGCCCUCUGGACGGUGACUGACGCUGAGACGCGAAAGCGUGGGGAGCAAACAGG